AGUUUAACAUUACAACCAAAUAAAAAAAAAAAUUUGUAUAAAAUAUUUUCUUAGAAAAUUAUUUCCAUAGAAAAUAUUUUCCAUAUAUAAGUGAUUUUCCAUGAAACAAAUGGAACUUAAAUAAUCCUAGAUUUUCCACAAACAAACAAAAAAAAUUCAACAAUCAAACCCUAUUUUUUUCCAAACAAACUCAACAAUAAAAAAAACCCAACAAUCAAAGAAACUCAAAUUUCAGGAUUGCAAGGACUUGAUGUUUGCACCUCUCUUCCAUUCACCGCUAAAGAGACUCACCCAAGGGACUAUUGUUGCAAUCAACAUUGACACUUUUGGAUUUUGGAAUCUAGAAGUAGAUGGCAAUGACGUUGACAGAUGGUGAUGGAGGACUUGCCGAGGUGGAUUAUCAUCGUCGAUUCCCAGAGAGAGUUUUUCUUCUUGCAAUCGCAACAUCACUUUUCUGGCAAGUUUCGGCAUGGAGAUUUAAAAACGUGAGGAGUGGGUGGGUGGGUUUGUGGGCACUGGAAGGAGGAGGAGGGAGACUGUUAUAUGGGAACUGGGCAAAAAAAGUAGCACAACAGAGGUUGAAAAGUUCAGUAGGGUCAGUCAGUUCAGUUAUUUUGACCUCACUAAUCGAACCAAUUUUUUCCAAGAACAAUAACUGAAAUGGAAACUGAACCAAAAAAACUGAAUUAAUUCAAUUUGGUUUGGUUUUUCAGUUAUAACUGGUUUCUGCUCAGCCCCAGAGACAAUGAGCGAAAUUACAAAGGACCAACAAAAAUCAUCUAAAGUCUCGGCAGUAGUAACUUCUAAGCUAUAGGCUGCUUGCUACAAAUAAAGAGAGGCAUCAUUUAACAAUCUAUUGGAUUGAACACUUCAAGAAGCUAUUACAAGCCACUUUCAACUACAAGAGCAACUGACUAAAUAUGUGCUCCAAGAUGAUGCCUACAAUAUAAAUUGGUUAUGACUCGUAAAAUCAAAUAUCAACUAUCAAUUCAAUGAACUUUGCUCCAAAGAUUAAUUUUUUGGGCAAGGAUAUACAAGAUAAAGCAAGGAUGCAAUAGAAGUGUUGCAAUAAAACAUUGUCUAUGUCUAGUUUUAAGAUGUGCAGAAAACAGACCAUUCGGGAGAUUUCUGAAGUGCUCGAACUUGUUCGUAAAAGAGAACUUGAGAAACUAUACAUGCCACCUUGCUGCCUGACUCUAAAGCCUUUUCCUUUCCACUUUCAUCAACAACAACAAAACUCCCUGCACAUCAUCAAACCAAUUUAAACACCAAGUCUAAUACGUUUCCAAUCAGUUCAUGGAUAAAAGAUGCUUCAGAUCAACUCAAGAGCCAACUAAUAACCAAUCUAAUGCUAGAGCAGGAUAUGGAUAUCAUAUGAAACAAGACCUCGUUUUAUCCACAUGCUCUUCUGGAACUUAGCUGGAAAUAACGCCAAUGACUUCUCACCUCUUGCGUCCAUUACCUCAAUGAGAUUGGAACCUCUAAGAGACACCACUUGCAUGAUGCUUUGGCCAUGUUCAAGCGUUAAGUUAUAUUCCUCUGUUGCCCUCUUCAGAUUCUUCCUUCCGCCUUUCAUUAUCUCCGUCUUCCCCCAAUUAUAUAUAGUAAUAUAUUCUUAAACUGAAGCAGGAUAUUUAUAAUGGUUACGAAUGAUGAUUAUAAAAGUGAAUCCUUCCUACGUCUAAUAAAUAGUAAAGAUUCAACUAUUUGAAUCUGCACACAAGAGCAUCCUACCCAAGCCCUUGACACUGACAACCCAAUUUGUAUCUAUGAGCAAUUGUUGUUGUCGUCCGAAUCAACUGUGAAUGCUUGGUUGAUCUCUAAAAGCGAGAAUGGUGAAUCUGACAUCAAUGACUCCGCCGCUCAGCCAGGGUCUUCCGAUGACAGUAGCUGCAGAGAGGGAAUGCGUGGCACUGAGAGGGGAAAGAGGAGAGCUUUUG
This 1940-nucleotide unclassified non-coding RNA is filed under the name Hevea brasiliensis (rubber tree). The record is from RNAcentral. Lineage: Eukaryota; Viridiplantae; Streptophyta; Magnoliopsida; Malpighiales; Euphorbiaceae.